CCUACGGGUGGCAGCAGUGAGGAAUAUUGGUCAAUGGGCGGAAGCCUGAACCAGCCAAGUAGCGUGCGGGAUGAAGGCCCUACGUGUCGUAAACCGCUUUUGCACGGGGAUAACACCCUCCACUAGUGGAGGUCUGCAGGUACCGUGCGAAUAAGGGCCGGCUAAUUCCGUGCCAGCAGCCGCGGUAAUACGGAAGUCCCGAGCGUUAUCCGGAUUUAUUGGGUUUAAAGGGUGCGUAGGCGGGCGUUCAAGUCAGCGGUAAAAUCGCGAGGCUCAACCGCGGCGCGCAGUUGAAACUGGAGGCCUGGAGUUCACGACAGGCAGGCGGAAUGCGUGGUGUAGCGGUGAAAGGCAUAGAUAUCACGAGGAACCCCGAUUGCGAAGGCAGCCUGCCGGGGUGCGACUGACGCUGAGGCUCGAAGGUGUGGGUAUCAAACAGGAUUAGAUACCCCUGUAGUC
RNAcentral lists this ribosomal RNA (459 nucleotides) under uncultured bacterium. RNAcentral's name for it is "partial 16S ribosomal RNA". It matches the Rfam family "Bacterial small subunit ribosomal RNA", at positions 338 to 795 of the family's 1533-position model. The record is from RNAcentral.